GAUGGACGCUGGCGGCGUGCCUAAUACAUGCAAGUCGAGCGAACAGACGAGGAGCUUGCUCCUCUGACGUUAGCGGCGGACGGGUGAGUAACACGUGGAUAACCUACCUAUAAGACUGGGUUAACUUCGGGAAACCGGAGCUAAUACCGGAUAAUAUAUUGAACCGCAUGGUUCAAUAGUGAAAGACGGUUUUGCUGUCACUUAUAGAUGGAUCCGCGCCGCAUUAGCUAGUUGGUAAGGUAACGGCUUACCAAGGCAACGAUGCGUAGCCGACCUGAGAGGGUGAUCGGCCACACUGGAACUGAGACACGGUCCAGACUCCUACGGGAGGCAGCAGUAGGGAAUCUUCCGCAAUGGGCGAAAGCCUGACGGAGCAACGCCGCGUGAGUGAUGAAGGUCUUCGGAUCGUAAAACUCUGUUAUUAGGGAAGAACAAAUGUGUAAGUAACUAUGCACGUCUUGACGGUACCUAAUCAGAAAGCCACGGCUAACUACGUG
This 497-nucleotide ribosomal RNA is filed under the name uncultured bacterium. Its description in RNAcentral is "partial 16S ribosomal RNA". It matches the Rfam family "Bacterial small subunit ribosomal RNA", at positions 28 to 507 of the family's 1533-position model. The record is from RNAcentral.